UACGUAGGGUCCGAGCGUUGUCCGGAAUUAUUGGGCGUAAAGGGCUCGUAGGCGGUUUGUCGCGUCGGGAGUGAAAACACCGGGCUUAACUCGGUGCUUGCUUUCGAUACGGGCAGACUGGAGGUAUGCAGGGGGGAACGGAAUUCCUGGUGUAGCGGUGAAAUGCGCAGAUAUCAGGAGGAACACCGGUGGCGAAGGCGGUUCUCUGGGCAUUACCUGACGCUGAGGAGCGAAAGUGUGGGGAGCGAACAGG
This 253-nucleotide ribosomal RNA is filed under the name uncultured bacterium. RNAcentral's name for it is "partial 16S ribosomal RNA". It matches the Rfam family "Bacterial small subunit ribosomal RNA", at positions 524 to 776 of the family's 1533-position model. The record is from RNAcentral.